GACGAACGCUGGCGGCGUGCUUAACACAUGCAAGUCGAACGAUGACGUCCGAGCUUGCUCGGUCUGAUUAGUGGCGAACGGGUGAGUAACACGUGAGCAACCUGCCCUUCACUCUGGGAUAACCUCGGGAAAUCGGGGCUAAUACCGGAUAUGAGCUCCUGUCGCAUGGCGGGUGUUGGAAAGUUUUUCGGUUAAGGAUGGGCUCGCGGCCUAUCAGUUUGUUGGUGAGGUAGUGGCUCACCAAGGCGAUGACGGGUAGCCGGCCUGAGAGGGCGACAGGCCACACUGGGACUGAGACACGGCCCAGACUCCUACGGGAGGCAGCAGUGGGGAAUAGUGCACAAUGGGCGAAAGCCUGAUGCAGCGACGCCGCGUGAGGGAUGACGGCCUUCGGGUUGUAAACCUCUUUCAGCAGGGAAGAAGCGAAAGUGACGGUACCUGCAGAAGAAGCGCCGGCUAACUACGUG
Molecule: ribosomal RNA, 467 nt
Filed under: uncultured bacterium
Lineage: Bacteria
Description: partial 16S ribosomal RNA
Rfam family: Bacterial small subunit ribosomal RNA
Source: RNAcentral